CCCUAGUGGCGGACGGGUGAGUAACGCGUGGGUAACCUGCCAUAUACAGGGGGAUAACACUUAGAAAUAGGUGCUAAUACCGCAUAAGCGCACAGGGGCGCAUGCCUCGGUGUGAAAAACUCCGGUGGUAUAUGAUGGACCCGCGUCUGAUUAGCCAGUUGGCAGGGUAACGGCCUACCAAAGCGACGAUCAGUAGCCGGCCCGAGAGGGCGGACGGCCACAUUGGGACUGAGACACGGCCCAAACUCCUACGGGAGGCAGCAG
Molecule: ribosomal RNA, 264 nt
Filed under: uncultured bacterium
Lineage: Bacteria
Description: partial 16S ribosomal RNA
Rfam family: Bacterial small subunit ribosomal RNA
Source: RNAcentral